GCCCCGGCGGCCGGCGAACGCUUCCGGGGCAGCGCGAACUGCGGGGAGCGCCGGGCGGGACGCGGGCAGGGGCGGGGGCCGGCGAUGUGCGCGUCACUUUGCCGGCUUGGGCUGCUCUUAUUUUAACAGUCGCGCUAGGCGCUAAACUGCGUAUCUUUAAACGAUGAGCAGGUGUGUAUAGCCUUCCUUGACUCCGAAGAGAGAUGGGAGCGCUUAUCUUCAAGGCUGAAUGCGGAGAGGCGAUUGUAGUUCUGCAUCCUAACUCUUGCGUUUGAUUGUCGUUUAGAAAUUAAUACAUUAUUCCGAAACAAGUUGUUUCACAAGGCAUUAACUGUGCAUGACUGAAUUGUCUCUUAUUUGAAGGCUUGCAGUGUCAUCAUCAUCAUCAUCAUCAUCAUCAUCAUCAUCAUCAUCAUCAUCAUCAUCAUCAUCAUCAUCAUCAUCAUCAUCAUCAUCAUCAUCAUCUGCUUCCUUGUUACCUCCAACCCCCCUCCCCCGAGAAGGCCUGGUGGACCCUUCUGUAUGUUUUCCUUCAGGAAAAAAAAAAAAAAAGAAAGACUGGAGAAAAGCGUUCAGUCAUAUGUCAUCAUAAGUAUAAAAAACCAGAAAGGUGGAUGUCCCUUAGAGAAACACUGAAUGUGUUCUUACCUGCUGAAGUUUGCAGGUUUUUGCUGGAUUUGCUCAUAUUCCUCUGGUUGAAAGUUAUGUAGAGCACAUACCCUGGAAUUAGGAGCCAGGAUUUCCUGCUUUCCCAAUUCCCGUGAUUUUCUUUUUUUUUUUUCAUUAUUCUGGACUGGAGAUUUUGUUACAACACUAAUUUCUGUAGAUAAUCUGAGGAUCUCUUGGUGCUCCCACAUGUCAAACCAUGUAAUUGCAGAAUUCUGAACUAUGCUGGCUAAGCAAAGCUCUUUACUCAUAGAAUAUAGUAUGGAGAGAAAGAAAAUGCAGUUAUGGCAAAGAAGAGUAUUCACAUAGGAAUCUUUCUCCAAGAAACUGUAGUUGACUGGGCUGCAGAUUUGAAGACAAUAGCAUCCUGAGACUCUCUCUGGUUUUUUUUCUUCUGAGUUACCUUGUGGAUCUCCUAAGAUGAGUAAAUUAAGGGUCAAACGCUGGUACAGUUCUAUUAGACACCUUUUUAAUAAUGAAACUGUAGCUGCGGGAAAUGCUUGGACGUGAAGACAGGGACGAUUACAGGAUCGCCACUGGUACGGAUUCCAGAGCCUGCCCCAGGACAGUAGGGGGCGAAGUAGCACCUUAUCCCUCGUGCUUUUAGGGACGUGACCCACCUUGGAUUGCAACUCCGGCUGCAGAUGGAUAGAUGGAUUCCCUCUCUGUGGCUGUGCCAAGAAAAUGCCAUGGCUGACUCCUCUUGAUGAGAAUGCUGUCUAGAAUACUGCCUGUGAAUUUACAGUACGGAUUGAUGUUUGAAUUCUACUCCUAAAAAAACCACGGAGACAUAAAAGCAUACUGCUCAGGGCCUUUCCUAAUAUUAAAAUCACUUAUUGCAUAUUUUUUUGCACCAACUAGCUUUGAUUGUAGGCUUGUUUACUAAUGGAUUGUUAUAGUUUCAUACUACUAUUUUUUUUUGGUGAAUUUUCCACACCAACAGUCUUUGCUAGGAUAAGAUAAGCGUCAGGUUUGAUUGUUUGUCUAGCUCGGGCCUUGAUGACUGUCCUAUUGAAACACACACCCGCUGGAAUGAUUAAGGGAAACCCCAUCUCCCUGUAGCCACGAUGGAGAGGUCGGCCCACGUGGGGGGUGGGGUGGGGAGCAUGAGGCAAUGAGCCUUUUAGACUGGAGCGGUGGGGGGGGCGUGGAAUUUAUUCCACUUCUGCCCUGCUUCUUUUGUGGGGUGAAGGGAGACCACAGUUUUCCACCGUUUCCAUCCUCUGCUGGUUCCAUUGCCUUCGGCACUCAGUGAUUGCUUUGUUGAGACUCCCAGAAGCUUGGGAGGGGUCCUGGCUCACCCCCCAACCACACGUGCCCUGUGGACUGCCACUGAUGUGAACUGUAUGUUUGUUUGGGAAUAAUUAGUUAGCGGUGAUGGAUCCCAUACUGAGUGGGCCUGAGUCCACCCCUGUUCCCUGGUGGUCUUUACUUGAGGUAACAAUUGAAUUUGGUGCAUAUUAUUGAGCUGAGUCGUUAGGAAGGAAAAGGACCCUGUGUAAAAAAGCCACACGUGGUUGUGGAGGGUUGACCCAGAAACAGUGAGCUCACAGCAGCCACACUAAUGUGAGACGGUGAGAAAGGUGCAAGGAAUGACAAAGGGAUGGGCUGUGGUAUGCAUUUUAGGGCUGUUGUGGUACUGCUGCACAUUGUAGAACCAUCCAGUGGGGAAAAAAAUCCCUGCAAGUGCUCAUUCACCCUCAUAGUGAAAACGUGUCACCUGAUGUUUCUGGGGAAUUGCCUGUGUUUCAGUUUGUGCCCAUCGCCUCUGGCCUUGUCACUGGGCACAUCUGUAAAGAGUCUGGCUCCAUCUGCUGUGUGCCUUCCCUUCAGGUGUUUGUACACAUUAAUAAGAUCUGAGGCUUUGCUUCUCCGGGGUGAACAGUCAUAGCUCUCUCAGACUCUCCUCAGAGGAGAAAUGCACUGGUUCCCUCAUCAUCUCUGCAUCCCUUUCGUGGGCUCUCUCUGGUAUGUCCAUGUUUCCUGUGUACUGGGGAGCCCAGAACUGGACUCAGCACUCCAGUGUGGCCUCAGCCGUGCAGAGCAGGAGCAGGAUCACAUCCCUCCACCUGCUGGCAACUUUCCUCCUAAUGCAGCCCAGGAUGUGCUGGCACCUUUUGUUUUGCCACAAGGGCACACUAGUAGCAUAAUGAGCAUUUAUCUCUAUGUGUGUCACAGAACUCUGAACUGGACCUCUGAAAUGAUAAUUUCUUGCAGAAAUUAUGAAUGCAUGAUGAACUGAAAGAGCUGCUUCAAUAAAAUGUCUGAAGGACUUCAUAUUUAGAAUUUUCCCAUGAUCAACCCAGGCCUUUAACCAAUGACAUAAAGACAUACUUAUGGAGGGGACCUGAUGUGGAUGAGAAUGGUAUACGGCCUGAAAAUAUGUAUGACACUUUAUGAUACAAAUACAAUUAAAAUUUAAUCUAUUUUAAGCUAAAAGUUUUCUGUAUAUAUCAGUUGGGAAGAGGGAUUGCUGAAAAACAAAUAAAUAUUUAAAUUGUAAGUGAGAUAAUGCAUGCUGAAUAUGGCACUUCUUAAUUUAUUUUGCUGAUUUUUGUACCCUUUUUGGCUGUGGAAGGCAGGAGAAGCAAUAUUUUGUGACAGAUACAUAUUAUUAAGACUUCAGCAACAACCUUCCCUGAAUGUAGGAAAUAAUGUCAACCUCUAACAAAUUCCUGUAAAACGGUUUAAUUCAUAUCAGUUUUCGGUCAUUAAUUGUGUACUAUUUAAACAUUUGUUCAUACCAGAUGGAAUGCAGUAAAUCUAGAAUCUCAGACUAAUAGUGAUUGAUUUUCAGGAAACUGACAGAAUGUGUUUUAGACUCCGAGCCAUUUUCUCAGGCUGUCAUCCAGAUCACUUUAAAAUAUUCAUUAUUUUAAUUUUUAUUAUGUCAGUUAAAGAACACUACACAUCUGUAUGGUGUAAGAUAUCCAUAGCAGAAGAAAAAGUUUGGGAAGAUUGUAACAAACUUCAGCCAAUGUAGGUCAGAACUGCUUUUUAUUCUGUGCUUGGUUGUUAGUAGGUUAAGUUUCCCUUCCAGGACUGGGAAAAAAGCAGUAAAAAGAUGUUGACUUCCAAACUUAGAUACUUAUGCUCGAAAAGCACAGAUAAAAUGAAGAAAGGCUGUUUAAAUGAAAAGUCAUAUGCUAGAGGACGUAAUGUAGCUUGCAGAGGGAGAGCCUUUGUAUGUAUUUUACUCCUUUUUUCUGUCCUUCUUUGAUCUUUUGGUGCAGAUAUAGCUGACCUUACCCAAACUUCACAACUGGAUGUCAGCAAUCAGAUGUUCUGGUGCAACUCUUGGCAGAGACGACUUAGUAGUACUCUCUAUUGCAUUUUAGAAAUAGAGGUGUGGUUUAUUUUUUUUCUUUGCCUUGAAACCAUUGUCAUUUAGGUGAAGACCUGUCAGCAUGCUAUUUACAAAUAUAUUGAUUGCACAGUAUAAUAUUAAGUAUGACUCUAUACACAUAGUGGCAAAAUCUUCUGCUAGUCUAGAUGUAAAAGAACAUGUAAUAUAUACUACUGUGACAGUAUAAAAAUAUAUCUAUAAUAAAAAUAAUAUAUAGCCAUAAGAAAAAUAAAUGUUACUGUCUGUAA
Molecule: long non-coding RNA, 4260 nt
Organism: Pseudopipra pipra
Lineage: Eukaryota; Metazoa; Chordata; Aves; Passeriformes; Pipridae
Exons: 2
Source: RefSeq, a predicted model, not a curated record